UACGAAGGGGGCUAGCGUUGCUCGGAAUUACUGGGCGUAAAGGGCGCGUAGGCGGAUACUUAAGUCGGGGGUGAAAGCCCGGGGCUCAACCUCGGAAUUGCCUUCGAUACUGGGUAUCUUGAGUUCGGGAGAGGUGAGUGGAAUGCCGAGUGUAGAGGUGAAAUUCGUAGAUAUUCGGCGGAACACCUGUGGCGAAAGCGGCGCACUGGACCACAACUGACGCUGAGGCGCGAAAGCUAGGGGAGCAAACAGG
RNAcentral lists this ribosomal RNA (253 nucleotides) under uncultured bacterium. RNAcentral describes it as "partial 16S ribosomal RNA". It matches the Rfam family "Bacterial small subunit ribosomal RNA", at positions 524 to 776 of the family's 1533-position model. The record is from RNAcentral.